Molecule: transfer RNA, 73 nt
Filed under: Cellulomonas gelida
Lineage: Bacteria; Bacillati; Actinomycetota; Actinomycetes; Micrococcales; Cellulomonadaceae
Also listed under: 3 other names
Description: tRNA-Trp
Rfam family: tRNA
About the family: Transfer RNA (tRNA) molecules are approximately 80 nucleotides in length. Their secondary structure includes four short double-helical elements and three loops (D, anti-codon, and T loops).
Source: RNAcentral
AGGGCAGUGGCGCAAUUGGCAGCGCAGCGGUCUCCAAAACCGCAGGUUGCAGGUUCGAGUCCUGUCUGCCCUG